RNAcentral lists this unclassified non-coding RNA (253 nucleotides) under uncultured Flavobacteriaceae bacterium. RNAcentral's name for it is "contains 16S-23S intergenic spacer region". It matches the Rfam family "Bacterial small subunit ribosomal RNA", at positions 524 to 776 of the family's 1533-position model. The record is from RNAcentral. Lineage: Bacteria; Pseudomonadati; Bacteroidota; Flavobacteriia; Flavobacteriales; Flavobacteriaceae.
UACGGAGGGUCCAAGCGUUAUCCGGAAUCAUUGGGUGUAAAGGGUGCGUAGGCGGGUUAAUAAGUCAGUGGUGAAAGUCUGCCGCUCAACUGUAGAAUUGCCAUUGAUACUGUUGACCUUGAGUACUGAUGAAGUGGUUAGAAUAUGUAGUGUAGCGGUGAAAUGCAUAGAUAUUACGUAGAAUACCGAUUGCGAAGGCAGAUCACUAAUAAUUUACUGACGCUGAGGGACGAAAGCGUAGGUAGCGAACAGG